CCUACGGGAGGCAGCAGUGGGGAAUAUUGCACAAUGGGGGAAACCCUGAUGCAGCGAUGCCGCGUGAGUGAAGAAGUAAUUCGUUACGUAAAGCACUAUCAGCAGGGAAGAAACCCUUACCUUACGGUAAGCUGACGGUACCUGAGUCAGAAGCACCGGCUAACUACGUGCCAGCAGCCGCGGUAAUACGUAGGGGGCAAGCGUUAUCCGGAUUUACUGGUUGUAAAGGGAGCGUAGGCGGUACGCCAAGUCUGAAGUGAAAUGCCAGAGCUUAACUUCGGAACUGCUUUGGAAACUGGCGAACUAGAGUGCGGGAGGGGUAAGUGGAAUUCCUGGUGUAGCGGUGAAAUGCGUAGAUAUUAGGAGGAACACCGGUGGCGAAGGCGGCUUACUGGACCGUGACUGACGUUGAGGCGCGAAAGCGUGGGGAGCAAACAGGAUUAGAUACCCGAGUAGUC
Molecule: ribosomal RNA, 458 nt
Filed under: uncultured bacterium
Lineage: Bacteria
Description: partial 16S ribosomal RNA
Rfam family: Bacterial small subunit ribosomal RNA
Source: RNAcentral